Long non-coding RNA from Zonotrichia leucophrys gambelii, 996 nucleotides. RefSeq lists it as uncharacterized. The record is from RefSeq and is a predicted model, not a curated record. The transcript has 3 exons. Lineage: Eukaryota; Metazoa; Chordata; Aves; Passeriformes; Passerellidae.
UCUCGCCUUGUCAGGGGCUCCGUUCUGCAUGGUGUUGAGCCCCACUGUGAGGGGUGAGUGCUCUCUCUCUCUCCCCAGUGUCAGUGGCCAUGGAGAACACUCAUCAUCUUUUGGGAAUGUCCAACACGUUUCAGAAAAACCCCUUCCAGUAGUGGAUCUGGCAGAAAUGGCACCAGAGCAGACUAAUGUUUUGCAUUUGGACCAGACUGUGCUUUUGAAGGACACGAGGAAGUUCAUUAUGCUGGAUAUGAGCCUGCUCCUGCUUUGACUGAACUUUAAGAAACAAGAGUGAACACUGUGGCAGAGGCCUGGAUUUAAGAAAUGCCAAGGAAAAUGAAGAAACUGCUACAAAAAAACUUGUACUGUCACUGUUGUAAUAUGGCACUGAAGCUGCAAUCUGAGCCAAAGAAGACAAAAAUCCAUCAUUCCCACCUCCAGGUCAGCUGCUCAGCUCUUUUUUCCUGCCAAGAUGAUUGCUCUGCCUACCUCUGCCCAGAAGAGGAGCCAGUGAGAGGAGUCUGGUGUUAGGGACCUCUCACUGAGGACCAGCCGCCCUGAAUUUCAAGAGUGCUCAGGAAUGUGCUGGAUCAGACACUGGGGAGGUGCCUUUUUACAUAAUUACCACAAUUUUCCACUCAAAAACCGCCUCGGGCCCCCUGUGGCUGUGCUGCAGUCUCUUUUGCAAAGUUUUUGGUUAUUUAACAGAGGGAAAAUAUAUUGAAGAAGAAUGGGUGAGAGGCACUGGGGUGAGAAGGGGCUACAAGCGAGGUCCCCAUGUGGUUCCCAGCUGCAGCCCACCCAUCUGAGUGGGGGAUCUCAGGGAUGGGGCUGGGCACACACCUGGCACCGCCUGCCAAACCCACAGGUGGUGAUAUCAGCAAGUGGAAUUCACCGAGCAGCUCCGUGGCCUGGCAGCACACAGGGGGAUUUAUCACGGCAUUGCUUCAGGUAAUGCCACAGCAGUGACAUCAGGCACCCAAUGCAGCAAGGGUUGCU